RNAcentral lists this long non-coding RNA (333 nucleotides) under Androctonus crassicauda. Lineage: Eukaryota; Metazoa; Arthropoda; Arachnida; Scorpiones; Buthidae. The record is from RNAcentral.
GUGUAGUGUAUUGUUUGACUGUUGUGAGUUGUGAAGUUUAGGAAUGCAUGGAUGUUGCAUGGGAUCUGUACCUGUGAAUUUGGUUAAUGUUUCCUGGAAUGUAUCAGUGAGUUUACUUAUUAGGUCUGUGUCAAUGUUGUUAAUGGACAAUGUGUUGUCAUCAAUGAAUAUUAUUUCUGGUGUCUGUUCCACUUCGUGUUCUAUUUGUGUGUGUGAAUCAGUUUCAUGUUGUGAUAUUUGUUGUGCUACCUGAAUUUUAAUGUUUUCUAAUGUACUGUGUGGUAUGAGAUUUCUGUAGAUGAUGGUUCUUCUUUAAUCUGCUAUGCGUUGUUC